Molecule: non-coding RNA, 171 nt
Filed under: Christensenella minuta
Lineage: Bacteria; Bacillati; Bacillota; Clostridia; Christensenellales; Christensenellaceae
Source: RNAcentral
GGUCCGCAGGGAUGAACAAGGGAAUCGGGUGAAAAUCCCGGACGGAAUCCGCCGCUGUAAGCGCCGAGUCCGAUGCCUGUUGAUGAAAAUCAGUCACUGGGAAACUGGGAAGGCAGGGUGUCGAACGUAAAAUCAUAAGAUUUUAAAAGCGUAAGUCAGAAGACCUACAAA